CCACUCGCCAAAAUAUCCCAAUAUAUUCCACCCUGCGUCUUUCUGACAUCCCAGAGCCCAGCUUCCAGGCCUAUCCCAUGGCGCUCAAAACCCUCGGUGCCUUCUCCUUCGCUUCUCCCCCCAGCCCUUGUAGUAAACCCACGUCGCCUCUUCCCUUCCCCUCUUCCCUUCGCUUCCGCCCCCGCCCUCCCAAAACCCUAAUAUCUCCAUCCUCCUCCGCUGCGCCGAGCUCCAUUUCUCCCUCCCCCUCCCCCAUUUUCCUCCCCCAUCUCGAGUCUCCCGCCCCCGAAUCCAUCGACGACGAGGUGGUGGCGGACGCCGCCGAAGAAGAAGAAGUAGUAGAAGAAGAAGAACAGUUCGAGAAGGAAUUCGGAGAACUACAUGGAUCCGAAUUAGAAUCCGAGGAGGAAGAGGGACGAGAAGAGGACUACUCAGAUCCCAUCCGCAACUUCUUCAAAUCCCGGUCCGAAACCCGAGACCCGAAGCGCGAGGGCCGGCUCACUCUCCAGCGGAACCGCCGCUCCACGUGGCACAUCGCAGACCUCCAAAGCGAUGAUAUUGAAGAGGAGGAGGAGGAGGAGGAAGAAGAAGAAGUGCAAGCUGUCGAGCCAGAUUCUGAUUCCGGGGUUCCUGAACCAGCUUCGGAGGACGGGGUUGUAGGAAAGAUCAUGGGGAUCGCGAGGAGGCUGCCGGAAAACUCCACAUUGGGAGAAUUCUUGGAUUCUUUUGCCGGGAAGGUGGGGGAGGGGGAGUGCAUUGAGCUGCUGGGAAGGAUGGGGGUGGAGGGACUGGUUCGGGAAAGUUUGUAUCUUUACGAGUGGAUGGGGUUGCAGGAGCCAUCGCUGGUGACGCCGAGGUCGUGUUCGGUUCUGUUUCCAAAUCUGGGAAGGGCAGGCAUGGGAGAUAAGCUGAUCGUUCUCUUUGAGAAUUUGCCAAGAGGGAAGAGAUUUCGGGAUGUUUGUGUGUAUAAUUCAGUCAUUUCAGGCCUUUCGUGCUGCAGGAGAUAUGAUGAUGCCUGGAGAGUGUUCGAGGAUCUGGAAGCUAAUAAUAUCAAGCCAGAUCAUGUGACGUGUUCUAUUCUGAUAACUGUCAUGAGGAAGAUGGGUAAGCAAGCAAAAGAUGCAUGGGGUUUCUUUGAACGUAUGAACAGAAAAGGUGUCAAAUGGAAUGUAGAGGUCUUUGGUGCUCUCAUAAAGUCCUUCUGUGACGAGGGGCUGAAAAAGGAAGCUCUCAUCAUUCAAUCAGAAAUGGAGAAGAAAGGAAUGUCAUCAAACGUCAUCAUAUAUAACACCUUGAUGGAUGCCUACAUUAAAUCUAACCAGGUUGAAGAGGCAGAAGGUCUCUUUGUUGAGAUGAAAGAAAAGGGAUUAAAUCCAACCACAGCAACCUAUAACAUUCUGAUGGAUGCCUACAGUAGAAGAAUGCAACCUGAGAUUGUUGAAGCUCUCCUAUCCGAGAUGCAAAGUUUAGGCUUGAAACCAAAUGUUAAAUCAUACACCUGCCUCAUAAGUGCCUAUGGAAGGCAGAGGAAAAUGAGUGACAUGGCAGCAGAUUCAUUCUUAAGGAUGAAAAAGUCUGGAAUAAAGCCUACCUCACAUUCAUAUACGGCUCUUAUUCAUGCAUAUUCUGUGAGUGGAUGGCACGAAAAAGCUCAUGCUGCAUAUCAAAAUAUGAAAAGAGAAGGAAUAAAACCUUCCAUAGAGACUUACACAGCUCUGCUUGAUGCCUUUAGGCGAGGUAGUGAAACUGAGAAGCUGAUGGAAGUUUGGAAAGAGAUGAUCAAUAAUAAAGUGGAAGGUACUAGAGUUACAUUUAACAUUCUCUUGGAUGGGUUGGCGAAACAUGGUCUCUAUGUUCAAGCAAGAGAUGUGAUACAUGAAUUUGGCAGGCUAGGUUUGCAGCCAACAGUCAUGACAUAUAAUAUAUUGAUGAAUGCAUAUGCACGGGGAGGGCAACACAACAAGUUGCCACAGUUGCUGAAAGAAAUGAUUGCUCUUGAAUUGAAGCCUGACUCUGUUACUUAUUCCACAAUGAUAUAUGCAUAUGUUCGUGUGCGUGAUUUUACUAGGGCAUUUUAUUAUCACAAACAAAUGGUGAGAAGUGGGCAAGUGCCUGAAGCCAGAUCCUAUCAGAAGCUGCGAGCUAUUUUAGAUGUCAAAGCUGCAAUAAAGAACAGGAGGGAUAGGAGUGCUAUAUUCGGAAUAGUCAACAGCAAAUUUGGCUUGAAACCCAAAAAGGGUAAGAAGGAUGAGUUCUGGAAGAACAAAAGGAAUCGGUGGAUGACAAACAGUGAUAUUAGUGAUCAGAAAUGAUCCAUUAAACAACUCAUUGAUUUUGUUUCUGAUUGAAUGGCGAGUGAGGGACUGAUUCACUUUGCAUAUAUCUAUUCUGAUUCAUGGUUCUACAUUUCUUGCAUCUCACAUGAGUGCUCCUUCUAGAAGAAGCUGGUCAUCUCAAAAAGCAAAUGGAUGAUGUGAAAGGAGAAAUCUUCUUCCAAGUCUUUGUACAUGCUGAUCAUCAAUCACACACACACAGUUCCUGCUUCAAUAAUUUAUUAUGGUGGUCUGUUUAUGGUGGUCUAGCGACACCUUUAAGGUACUUUAAGGUAAUUUCAGUAGAUUGGCAAGAGGGCCCAAAGGUGGUUUGAUGUAUGGAGUUGAUCACAAGGUUUAAGCAUGUGGUGCAAUCAGGCAAUCAGUUGAUUUCUUCUUUCAGAUCGCUCUAGAAGGAUAAUGUUGCCAAAAUGAUUUUUAGAGUGUUCCUUGUUGGGGAGGCAAGCUGUUUAUACCGAUAAAAGAGCGCAUGCACCCCCUCUUCAAGCUUUGGUACUAGUAGUUUAGAACAAGAUAAUUGCAGUUAUUUGCUGUAGGAGCUAUGUACUUUUGGUGCAAAUUUAGAGGGGCUGGGAUUAUUGAGCAUGCUUAAAGAUUUGUCAGGGGAACUAAUCUAAGAAAAUAGAAGUCUUUUUGAGUCACUUAUUGGCAGUGCGCUAAGCGAAAUGGAGAGGUGUGGUCACAUCUUGUUGCCUUGUCAAUGGUUGCUGUUGCUGCAAUUAAAGGGAAAAGCUGUCCUCCAGAAGUAGCCUUUUGAUUUGCAGGAAAGUUUUCACUGCUGAAACCUGUGAGUUAUUUAAUCUUGCUAACUAUUUGAUGCCCCUGCUUGCUUGAAUUGCCUCUAGCACUAUUCUCAAACUACAAAAGACGCUUUUUAGAUUUGGUCAUAGUGAACUGUUAGUGGAAACCUGAAUGACCUUUGUCUAUGACCAUUUUGGAGAGGAUCUUGCUGGUCACUGCAAUGAAUAUUUUAGUGGAGAGGCGGUAGGGCUAUUUGAUGAUCUUUACAAAGAACAUUGCGACAUUCCUUUUCCUCAGACCUGUCGUUUCUCAAAUUAUGCGAUCUUGUUCUGAAGUUAUUGCCUUUUACCUCAGGCCUCUCGUUUCUCGAUUUAUGCAAUCUUGUUGUAAGGUUUUUGCCUAUGAUUCCCAUGUCUUUCCAGACUUGCUGCUCCAGUUUGGUUAGUCACUGUGAUCCAUCCUAGUUCCUUACUCUCAAAAUCUCUGCAACGAAUUGUUUGACAGGCGGAGGCUUUUCUAAGCACCUGACAUGUAAGCUUGCCCAUGGUCGAUAACCAGAACUCUUUUUGGUGGCUUCUUUAAUUGGGGGUUCUAAUGGGGACCUAGUGAAAGCCUUGGGUGUUUGAAGAAGACAUAGGGUGAAACUGUCUAUUGGCUUGGGUUUAUGGUUUUCAAUGCUUAAUCAUGCAAUGAUGGCAGAUGUGGCGGCAUGGUUGCUGAUGGCUCCAAUGCUUUCUGUAGAAUUGUUGCCGGUUUCUGUACAUUUUAAUUUCCUCUCAUGAUUGGCUAUGUUUUAGAUCGAUUAGAUAAUUCAUGGGAUUUUUUCUA
This is an RNA transcript of Phoenix dactylifera (date palm), 3902 nucleotides long. It is a transcript of the gene named Pentatricopeptide repeat (PPR) superfamily protein, with no coding region annotated. The record is from RefSeq and is a predicted model, not a curated record. NCBI's taxonomy places the organism in Eukaryota, Viridiplantae, Streptophyta, Magnoliopsida, Arecales, Arecaceae.